This 27-nucleotide ribosomal RNA is filed under the name Streptococcus pneumoniae. Lineage: Bacteria; Bacillati; Bacillota; Bacilli; Lactobacillales; Streptococcaceae. The record is from RNAcentral.
CACCUGUACCCAUGCCGAACACAGAAG